GAUAGGUUAAGUUAAUAAGGGCGCAUGGUGGAUGCCUUGGCACUAGAAGGCGAUGAAGGACGUGACUAACUACGAUAUGCCUCGGUUAGCUGUAAGUAAGCUUACCCGGGGGUUUCCGAAUGGGGCAACCCGAUCUUAAUGAUCAUCAUCUUUUUGAAUUCAUAGAUUAGAUGAAGCAAACGCUGUGAACUGAAACAUCUCAGUAGCAGUAGGAAAGUAAAGAAAUUUCGAUUCCGUCAGUAGCGGCGAGCGAACGCGGAAGAGCCCAAACCUGGAUGCUUGCAUCCAGGGGUUGUAGGACUGAUGUUGAGUUACAAAGGUAUAAGAUAGCAGAAACAGUUGGGAAGCUGUUCCAAAGAGGGUGACAGGCCCGUAUGCGAAAUCUUGUACUCUCUAAUCAGGAUCCUGAGUACGGCCCAGCACGUGAAAUUGGGUCGGAAUCUGGGAGGACCAUCUCCCAAGGCUAAAUACUAACUAGUGACCGAUAGCGAACAAGUACCGUGAGGGAAAGGUGAAAAGAACCCCGGAAGGGGAGUGAAAUAGUUCUUGAAACCGUGUGCUUACAAGAAGUUCGAGGCCGUUAAUGGCUGAGAGCGUGCUUUUUGUAGAAUGAACCGGAGAGUUACGAUUGCGUGCAAGGUUAAGGUGCAAAGACUGGAGC
RNAcentral lists this ribosomal RNA (661 nucleotides) under Oenococcus oeni. RNAcentral describes it as "bacterial LSU rRNA". It matches the Rfam family "Bacterial large subunit ribosomal RNA", at positions 1 to 666 of the family's 2925-position model. Lineage: Bacteria; Bacillati; Bacillota; Bacilli; Lactobacillales; Lactobacillaceae. The record is from RNAcentral.